UGCAUCGGCCGGGAAUCGAACCCAGGCCGCCCGCGUGGCAGGCAAGCAUUCUACCACUGAACCACCGAUGC
Molecule: transfer RNA, 71 nt
Filed under: Cordylochernes scorpioides
Lineage: Eukaryota; Metazoa; Arthropoda; Arachnida; Pseudoscorpiones; Chernetidae
Description: tRNA-Gly
Source: RNAcentral